RNAcentral lists this long non-coding RNA (1191 nucleotides) under Citrus x clementina. RNAcentral describes it as "Citrus clementina (C. clementina) long non-coding RNA (CCLE_LNC006600)". Lineage: Eukaryota; Viridiplantae; Streptophyta; Magnoliopsida; Sapindales; Rutaceae. The record is from RNAcentral.
UUAAGUAAGAAAGUUGUACCUCACAGCAACACUCAAAAGUGAUGGUAAAAAGAUAAAGUUUAUUAAAGAUUAUUGGAUCAGUGUAUUAGCAGUGGUACAAGCCUUUGCAACCAAGGCAAAAUCACAUAAAGCAAGGAUAAAAAUAUAAAAUGUUUGGCAACUCCAUAGCUAUUAUCAGGAUUUAAAUUAUGUCCUAAUUUCUUAUUAAUUAAACUUUAUUGUCAUUUGAGUUUAGAAAAUUAAUGGAUUGAAGAUUAUUAUUAGUACUGACCAAUGUGCUGGUUGAAGAAAUGAGAAUACUUUAUAAACAAAUUAGGUUGUAUUUUGGGGAAAAUUGAAAUCUUAAACGGUAGGUUGACAAUGGCUGAGUAUGCAAAUUCAUCCUUAAAGAUUUAUAGUUUCAGUAUUCAUGUAAUUCUUCACCAACAUUUGAUAGGAAAUGAUAGAUCCAAAAAUAAAUUAUAGGCUAAAUCCACACAAAUAUCAUUACACUAAUUAUAAAAUGCAAUUUAUAUGACAUGUAUGUAUUGUAUGUAAUGUCAUAACCUCUUUCCUGGAUAUUUACUAGAGUUGAAGUGUCUUAAAUUAUCAAACAAUGCAACAAGAUUAUAUGAAACACAUUACAAUUUAAGAUUUUCAAUUUAUUUAGAAAACACAAAUAUCAUCGCUCACAAAACUUCAUGGCAUAUGGUGUUUGUGUAUAUUUUAUUAACAACUAUCAUCACUCAUCUCACAGCAGAGUUGUCGAUAGUAGAUGAAAGUGGAGGAAGCAUUGAUAGCGAUGAUAUAGCAGGGGGCUACUCAAACUUAAAGAAGACGAUGAAGAGCAGUGACAGUAGUAGCAUUGGGUAAUGAAGACGAAAGCAGUGCUGGCUGCUAGGGAAUGAAGAUGAAGAUUGUUUGUCGGCACGGUGACGGUAGUAUGCAAAGUUGGAUAAAGAUUUUAGAAACUAUGGUUCGAUACUUUGAUUUUUUUUAGUUUUAAUUUGUAGGGAUGGCAAUGGAGCAAAUAUGGAUUGAAUUUACUCUGCAUCAGAUCCAGAUCCAUAAUAAAAAUUAAGAUCUACAGCUGCUCCAGAUCCGUCAUGAUCUAUAUUUUUCGCUCCAUAUCUAGAUCCGAAACAAAAAAUAAAGAUCUAUAUCUGCUCCAAAUCCAAAAAGAAAAAUUAAAAUCUAAAUCAGCUCUAAAUC